UCUCCUCUUUCUCCAUCCUCCCUGAAAAUAUCUCCUCUUUCUCCAUCCUCCCUCCUCAUCCGGCUCCUCUUCUCCAUGCCGCCGUCGUCGCCUCCUCUUCCCCGUCGCUCACAGCCGCCUCGCCCGCUCCGCCUUCACCACCUCCUCUCGUGGCUCCCGUGUCGGAGUUCAGUGCCAGGGGAAGAGGGAUCGACGAUGGCACAACAGAGGAGAUGGAGUAGCGUGCUCCUGCCGCUGUCCGACCCCAUCCUUCCUCCGCUCCUCCCCGCCCCUGCCUCCGCCUUGCCGCAUCCUCUGCGCCGUCGUGCCAUCACACCAUCUCCACUUCUGCCCAGCGCCCCGCUGCAGCCGCCUGCUAGUCGUCCUAUUCUAUAUGGAGCUGCACAUCGGCUUCGGCAUCGUCGCCGGCAGCGACUUCAUUCACCGCCUCCUCUAUAUUCAGUCCCUCUCAGACAAACCCAUCCAUGAGACAUCCAUAGCAAACUGAAACUCAAUUUCAUCGCAUUAGUCAAAGCAUGCCAUCACGUAUUCUUUGCUGUUGUCACUGGAAUCCUUUACAACCCGACAUUAUCACUGGAAUUGUUUACAACCUGACAUUAUCGGGUUUCUUAAUUUUCUCCAUUGGACACUCUCCUAUCUGAAAUAUUAGUCUUGCCUAUUUAAUGGUGGUUCACAUGCAGGUUCAGAGAGUAGCUCACUUGGAUAUGAGCAUAUGUGCAAUCUUGAGUGGUCUCAAGACGAGAUGAAUUAAACAAUGUUGACAUGCUGGUUGUGCUAGGAUGAUUUUGUCAUGUGUCAUGCUUCAAGAAAAGCAGGCUGGUCUUACAUCUAUUUGGAAUAUUUAGAUGGCCAAGGUCAAAGAGUAUCAAGUUGCAGUGUUGCAAGGUAUACCCUGCCUUGGAGAAGGGCAUUCUGUGGGCUGCUUCUACAGAGUAUCAAAUCUGAGAUCAAUCCAGUUUUGAGUUAGGUUACCUAAAGACUCCAUGCACCUCUUCGUCACAUGUCCACUUGCCAACAUGAUAUGGCAACGAAUCGGGUCCUGCCGCAGACCGACGAUAUCACUGAGCUUUGGGAAGCUCCCCUGCCUCAUCACCCCCCCCCCUCCCACACACACACACAAAAAGCAUGGUCCUUGGUCCUCAUGGCACUGCUAUGGAAGAUAUGGGCAGCACACAAUGAUAUGUUGUUUAGGAGUGUUGAUCAAUGUUCUGUAAUAACCCUCCGGGCCCUUAUUUCUUAUUUGGAUCUUUUGUCACACCGUCUCAUGGAGACAAGUGACAAGGAGGACGUCUUCUCGUGGCGUUCCUACCUCUGGGGGAGAUCCCCCCCACCCCCGGGUGAUUCUCAAUAAAAGGUCCAGUUUUGAGUUUUGACACCCAUUAAUGAUGCAUUCAUGUUAUGAGUUACAAAAUACUAAAUCUAAAAUGACAUGGUUUUAGAAAGUUGGGUGGGUUGAAAGAACCAAACUGUUUCAAGUUACACGUCUUCUCUGAAGGAAAUAUGCCCUAGAGUCAAUAAUAAAGUUAUUAUUUAUUUCCUUAUAUCAUGAUAAAUG
Molecule: long non-coding RNA, 1555 nt
Organism: Triticum aestivum (bread wheat)
Lineage: Eukaryota; Viridiplantae; Streptophyta; Magnoliopsida; Poales; Poaceae
Exons: 4
Source: RefSeq, a predicted model, not a curated record